Molecule: long non-coding RNA, 718 nt
Organism: Salvelinus sp. IW2-2015
Lineage: Eukaryota; Metazoa; Chordata; Actinopteri; Salmoniformes; Salmonidae
Source: RefSeq, a predicted model, not a curated record
UACUGCUGUUACACUAGUACUAUAUACUGUUAUUACACUAGUACUAUAUACUGUUAUUACACUAGUCCAAUGGGUUGUGUUUCCUAACAGAUUAGCCACUGAUUAAUUAGGUUGUGUUUCCUAACAGAAGAUAGAGGUGAUUGAUGAUGAUGAUGGUGUUGAGAUGGUCGGAUCUGAUAUGGAUAACAUGCAUAAUCCCUGGAGUUCAAGCUUGAGGAGGUGCAGUAUCUGGAGAGCCAACUAGAGAAUCAGAAUCAGAGAUAUAUGAGUUGGAGACCUUCACCAAGAGUCUUCUGACCGCUGUACGGACCAACAACCUGAACAGACAACAGGAACUUCUAGCCAGUCUACCUCAGCCUGCAGAUCAGGACUGGGACAUGAGUCCAGAGGGAGGACCAACUCCAUCUCCAUAACAACACACUCUGCAGACAAUCACGAUUCCGACGAGACGCCAUUGGUCAACCCCAACAAGGACCUCCCAUUGGUCACUCUAAACGAAGACGGUUCGUUGAUUGCUGAGCUCAACGAGUCGUCUGUAUCAGAGGAUCUAGAGACUGAGACCGGACCAGAGUGACUGUACUGACACACACAAACACACCCUGUGCCUGUGGAAGGAUCCUAAACUAGCUGGGCUCACAAUGCCUUUUAUAUGACUUAUCACUACGCCUUGUCUGGUCUAGUUUCAGACACAACAAUAAACAGACUCCAUAACAACUGA